Molecule: ribosomal RNA, 1362 nt
Filed under: uncultured bacterium
Lineage: Bacteria
Description: bacterial SSU rRNA
Rfam family: Bacterial small subunit ribosomal RNA
Source: RNAcentral
GAUGAACGCUAGCUACAGGCUUAACACAUUGCAAGUUCGAGGGGCAGCAUGGUCUUAGCUUUGCUAAGGCCGAUGGCGACCGGCGCACGGGUGAGUAACACGUAUCCAACCUGCCGUCUACUCUUGGACAGCCUUCUGAAAGGAAGAUUAAUACAAGAUGGCAUCAUGAGUCCGCAUGUUCACAUGAUUAAAGGUAUUCCGGUAGACGAUGGGGAUGCGUUCCAUUAGAUAGUAGGCGGGGUAACGGCCCACCUAGUCUUCGAUGGAUAGGGGUUCUGAGAGGAAGGUCCCCCACAUUGGAACUGAGACACGGUCCAAACUCCUACGGGAGGCAGCAGUGAGGAAUAUUGGUCAAUGGGCGAGAGCCUGAACCAGCCAAGUAGCGUGAAGGAUGACUGCCCUAUGGGUUGUAAACUUCUUUUAUAAAGGAAUAAAGUCGGGUAUGGAUACCCGUUUGCAUGUACUUUAUGAAUAAGGAUCGGCUAACUCCGUGCCAGCAGCCGCGGUAAUACGGAGGAUCCGAGCGUUAUCCGGAUUUAUUGGGUUUAAAGGGAGCGUAGAUGGAUGUUUAAGUCAGUUGUGAAAGUUUGCGGCUCAACCGUAAAAUUGCAGUUGAUACUGGAUAUCUUGAGUGCAGUUGAGGCAGGCGGAAUUCGUGGUGUAGCGGUGAAAUGCUUAGAUAUCACGAAGAACUCCGAUUGCGAAGGCAGCCUGCUAAGCUGCAACUGACAUUGAGGCUCGAAAGUGUGGGUAUCAAACAGGAUUAGAUACCCUGGUAGUCCACACGGUAAACGAUGAAUACUCGCUGUUUGCGAUAUACUGCAAGCGGCCAAGCGAAAGCGUUAAGUAUUCCACCUGGGGAGUACGCCGGCAACGGUGAAACUCAAAGGAAUUGACGGGGGCCCGCACAAGCGGAGGAACAUGUGGUUUAAUUCGAUGAUACGCGAGGAACCUUACCCGGGCUUAAAUUGCAGAUGAAUUACGGUGAAAGCCGUAAGCCGCAAGGCAUCUGUGAAGGUGCUGCAUGGUUGUCGUCAGCUCGUGCCGUGAGGUGUCGGCUUAAGUGCCAUAACGAGCGCAACCCUUGUUGUCAGUUACUAACAGGUUCCGCUGAGGACUCUGACAAGACUGCCAUCGUAAGAUGUGAGGAAGGUGGGGAUGACGUCAAAUCAGCACGGCCCUUACGUCCGGGGCUACACACGUGUUACAAUGGGGGGGUACAGAGGGCCGCUACCACGCGAGUGGAUGCCAAUCCCCAAAACCUCUCUCAGUUCGGACUGGAGUCUGCAACCCGACUCCACGAAGCUGGAUUCGCUAGUAAUCGCGCAUCAGCCACGGCGCGGUGAAUACGUUCCCGGGCCU